GGGCAGCGAUCGCCGAGUCCCCGUCCGGCGCGAGCCUGGGGAGCCGGGGACCCACGCAGUCCCUGGGGUGAAUCGGACGCCUUCGCACCCGUGCGGAGGGGCCCGUAGGAGACCUUCCUGCUCCGAACCCGUCAGCUAACCCGGUAGGCGAGAAGGAAGGAAAG
RNAcentral lists this small RNA (164 nucleotides) under Streptomyces sp. RNAcentral's name for it is "c-di-AMP sequence". It matches the Rfam family "c-di-AMP riboswitch aptamer (ydaO/yuaA leader)". From Rfam's summary of the family: This family represents a conserved RNA structure found upstream of the ydaO and yuaA genes in Bacillus subtilis and related genes in other bacteria. The ydaO/yuaA element is thought to act as a genetic "off" switch for the ydaO and yuaA genes in its native state. It is believed that the element may be triggered during osmotic shock leading to activation of ydaO, a predicted amino acid transporter gene, and members of the yuaA-yubG operon which code for KtrA and KtrB K+ transporters. RNAcentral also lists the same sequence under 1 other name. Lineage: Bacteria; Bacillati; Actinomycetota; Actinomycetes; Kitasatosporales; Streptomycetaceae. The record is from RNAcentral.